AACCUUAUAUUCAAAUAUGAUUUUAAAUUGCAAAUUUAAAGGUGAAUGUGUUUUCUAAGGGAU
RNAcentral lists this transfer RNA (63 nucleotides) under Nilaparvata lugens (brown planthopper). RNAcentral's name for it is "tRNA-Cys". RNAcentral also lists the same sequence under 1 other name. The record is from RNAcentral. Lineage: Eukaryota; Metazoa; Arthropoda; Insecta; Hemiptera; Delphacidae.